Molecule: non-coding RNA, 448 nt
Filed under: Charadrius vociferus (killdeer)
Lineage: Eukaryota; Metazoa; Chordata; Aves; Charadriiformes; Charadriidae
Description: Eukaryotic small subunit ribosomal RNA
Rfam family: Eukaryotic small subunit ribosomal RNA
Source: Rfam by way of RNAcentral
ACGGGCCAUGACUGAACAAAGUACUUUCUACGUACUUGCUUAGAUGCCAACUAUGUUAAACCCUCUCCUUUUAGUUUUUGUCCUGAGAUUUUUAUGUUUCACUCUUCUAUGUAUCAUGUUUUGGGGUGGACUGGUCACUGAGGUCAACGACAGAUGCUCUCCCCCACGUCUCUCUUCAAGGAGAUGAGGGAGAGAGAGAAACUAGGCCAUGAUUAAGAGGGACAGCUGGGGGCAUUCGUAUUGUGCCACUAGAAAUGAAAUUCUUGGACCAUCGCAAGACGGCCUAGAGCAAAAGCAUUUUCCAAGAAACUUUUCAUUAUUCAAGAACAAAAGUCAGAGGUUUGAAGAUGAUCAGAUACUGUUGUAGUUCCUUCUAAACUCCAAAGUCUCUUUCUGUUUCUCCCUCUGCUCCUUGAAGACAGAGGUGCGGGAGAGCAUCUAUUGUUUG